AGUCCGGUGGUCUAAAGGAAUGAUGUCCGCUUGCCAAGCGGGAAAUGCGGGUUCGAUUCCCGCCCGGACUU
Molecule: transfer RNA, 71 nt
Filed under: bacterium
Lineage: Bacteria
Rfam family: tRNA
About the family: Transfer RNA (tRNA) molecules are approximately 80 nucleotides in length. Their secondary structure includes four short double-helical elements and three loops (D, anti-codon, and T loops).
Source: Rfam by way of RNAcentral